Molecule: microRNA, 21 nt
Filed under: Ornithorhynchus anatinus (platypus)
Lineage: Eukaryota; Metazoa; Chordata; Mammalia; Monotremata; Ornithorhynchidae
Description: oan-miR-1417-3p
Source: miRBase by way of RNAcentral
AUUUCACCGGUUCUGAGAGCA